GACGAACGCUGGCGGCGUGCUUAACACAUGCAAGUCGAACGGAAAGGCCCAGCUUGCUGGGUGCUCGAGUGGCGAACGGGUGAGUAACACGUGGGUGAUCUGCCUCUAACUUCGGGAUAAGCUUGGGAAACUGGGUCUAAUACCGGAUAGGACAAUCGUUUAGUGUCGGUUGUGGAAAGUUUUUUCGGUUAGGGAUGAGCCCGCGGCCUAUCAGCUUGUUGGUUGGGUAAUGGCCUAACAAGGCGUCGACGGGUAGGCGGCCUGAGAGGGUGGACGGCCACAUUGGGACUGAGAUACGGCCCAGACUCCUACGGGAGGCAGCAGUGGGGAAUAUUGCACAAUGGGCGCAAGCCUGAUGCAGCGACGCCGCGUGGGGGAUGACGGCCUUCGGGUUGUAAACCUCUUUCGACAGGGACGAAGCUUUGGUGACGGUACCUGUAUAAGAAGCACCGGCUAACUACGUGCCAGCCGCCGCAGUAA
Molecule: ribosomal RNA, 480 nt
Filed under: uncultured bacterium
Lineage: Bacteria
Description: partial 16S ribosomal RNA
Rfam family: Bacterial small subunit ribosomal RNA
Source: RNAcentral